This 497-nucleotide ribosomal RNA is filed under the name uncultured bacterium. Its description in RNAcentral is "partial 16S ribosomal RNA". It matches the Rfam family "Bacterial small subunit ribosomal RNA", at positions 28 to 507 of the family's 1533-position model. The record is from RNAcentral.
GAUGAACGCUGGCGGCGUGCCUAAUACAUGCAAGUCGAGCGAACGGACGAGAAGCUUGCUUCUCUGAUGUUAGCGGCGGACGGGUGAGUAACACGUGGAUAACCUACCUAUAAGACUGGGAUAACUUCGGGAAACCGGAGCUAAUACCGGUUGAUAUUUUGAACCGCAUGGUUCAAAAGUGAACGACGGUCUUGCUGUCACUAAUAGAUGUUUCCUCGCUGCAUUAGCUAGUUGGUAAGGUAACGGCCUACCAAGGCUACGAUGCAUAGCCGACCUGAGAGGGUGAUCGGCCACACUGGAACUGAGACACGGUCCAGACUCCUACGGGAGGCAGCAGUAGGGAAUCUUCCGCAAUGGGCGAAAGCCUGACGGAGCAACGCCGCGUGAGUGAUGAAGGUCUUCGGAUCGUAAAACUCUGUUAUUAGGGAAGAACAUAUGUGUAAGUAACUGUGCACAUCUUGACGGUACCUAAUCAGAAAGCCACGGCUAACUACGUG